GGGCUCACACAAGCGGUGGAGGAUGUGGCUUAAUUCGAGGCUACGCGAAGAACCUUAUCCUAGUCUUGACAUGCUUAAGAAUCUCUCUGAAAGGAGAGAGUGCCUUCGGGAACUUUUGCACAGGUGCUGCAUGGCUGUCGUCAGCUCGUGUCGUGAGAUGUCGGGUUAAGUCCCUUAACGAGCGAAACCCUUGUCUCUAGUUGCCAGCGAGUAAUGUCGGGGACUCUAGAGAGACUGCCGGUGUUAAACCGGAGGAAGGUGGGGAUGACGUCAAGUCCUCAUGGCCUUUAUGACUAGGGCUGCACACGUCCUACAAUGCGGCAUACAAAGGGAAGCAAACCCGCGAGGGGGAGCAAACCCCAAAAAGUGUCGCUCAGUUCGGAUUGCAGGCUGCAACUCGCCUGCAUGAAGUUGGAAUCGCUAGUAAUCGCGGGUCAGCAUACCGCGGUGAAUGUGUUCCUGAGCCUU
Molecule: ribosomal RNA, 468 nt
Filed under: uncultured bacterium
Lineage: Bacteria
Description: bacterial SSU rRNA
Rfam family: Bacterial small subunit ribosomal RNA
Source: RNAcentral